Molecule: non-coding RNA, 111 nt
Organism: Acanthosepion pharaonis
Lineage: Eukaryota; Metazoa; Mollusca; Cephalopoda; Sepiida; Sepiidae
Source: the annotation of a GenBank genome assembly
UGGCUACAUCACUUUGAAACACCAGUUCCCGUACGAUCACCAAAGUUAAGCAACGUCGAAUAUGGUCAGUACCUAAAUGAGUGACCACUUGCGGAUACCAUGUGCUGUAAG